AGUUCGGAUUGCAGGCUGNAACCCGCCUGCAUGAAGCCGGAAUCGCUAGUAAUCGCGGAUCAGAAUGCCGCGGUGAAUACGUUCCCGGGUCUUGUACACACCGCCCGUCACACCAUGGGAGUCGGGAAUGCCCGAAGUCAGUGGCCCAACCGGAAGGGGGGAGCUGCCGAAGGCAGGCCCGGUGACUGGGGUGAAGUCGUAACAAGGUACC
RNAcentral lists this ribosomal RNA (211 nucleotides) under uncultured bacterium. RNAcentral's name for it is "partial 16S ribosomal RNA". It matches the Rfam family "Bacterial small subunit ribosomal RNA", at positions 1290 to 1500 of the family's 1533-position model. The record is from RNAcentral.